GACGUCGAUAUUCGACGUCAUAAACACGAACAACUUUGUGUUUAUGACGUCGAUAUUCGACGUCAUAAACACGAUCAACUUUGGUGUUUAUGACGUCGAUAUUCGACGUC
Paramuricea clavata is the source of this 110-nucleotide non-coding RNA. NCBI's taxonomy places the organism in Eukaryota, Metazoa, Cnidaria, Anthozoa, Malacalcyonacea, Plexauridae. The record is from the annotation of a GenBank genome assembly.